AGAACGAACGCUGGCGGCAGGCUUAACACAUGCAAGUCGAACGGUUGUAGCAAUACAGCAGUGGCAGACGGGUGAGUAACACGUGGGAACCUUCCUAGGGGUACGGAACAACUCAGGGAAACUUGAGCUAAUACCGUAUACGUCCGUGAGGAGAAAGAUUUAUCGCCCCUAGACGGGCCCGCGUAGGAUUAGGUAGUUGGUGAGGUAACGGCUCACCAAGCCUACGAUCCUUAGCUGAUCUGAGAGGAUGAUCAGCCACACUGGAACUGAGACACGGUCCGGACUCCUACGGGAGGCAGCA
RNAcentral lists this ribosomal RNA (301 nucleotides) under uncultured soil bacterium. RNAcentral's name for it is "bacterial SSU rRNA". It matches the Rfam family "Bacterial small subunit ribosomal RNA", at positions 26 to 353 of the family's 1533-position model. The record is from RNAcentral.